This 253-nucleotide ribosomal RNA is filed under the name uncultured bacterium. Its description in RNAcentral is "partial 16S ribosomal RNA". It matches the Rfam family "Bacterial small subunit ribosomal RNA", at positions 524 to 776 of the family's 1533-position model. The record is from RNAcentral.
UACGUAGGUGGCAAGCGUUGUCCGGAUUUAUUGGGCGUAAAGCGCCCGCAGGCGGCUUGAUAAGUUUCAGGUGAAAUCUCCCGGCUCAACCGGGAGGGUGCCUGGAAAACUAUCAGGCUUGAGUCAUGGAGAGGGAUGUGGAAUUCCCGGUGUAGUGGUGAAAUUCGUAGAGAUCGGGAGGAACACCAGUGGCGAAGGCGCCUAUCUGGCUGACAACUGACGCUGAGACUCGAAAGCAUGGGGAGCAAACAGG